RNAcentral lists this long non-coding RNA (214 nucleotides) under Spirodela polyrhiza (greater duckweed). RNAcentral's name for it is "long non-coding RNA (SPOL_LNC001628)". Lineage: Eukaryota; Viridiplantae; Streptophyta; Magnoliopsida; Alismatales; Araceae. The record is from RNAcentral.
UUUUCUCUUUCACUCAUUCAUAUAAUUUUUCUCUUUUUUCUGCAUGUAAUUUUUAGAAAAAUAAUAGAAAAUCUAUUUUGAGCAAUCAUAGACUUUAACUAAUCACAUAAUAAAUAAGAUUUAUACCUCAAUCAUGAAAUGAAUUCUCAUCAAGCUUUCAUUUUAGUUAGAAAAUAUCAAUUUAAAACAAGAUUUAGAGAAGUUUAUUUAAAUA